CUUGAAAAAGAGAGCAAGCAAACUUCAUUGACUCUUGAUCGGUCUCAGUGGAAGUUCGUCUGCAUUAAAUAGAUUGUCACAUAGGAAUUUUUGUUGACAUGACAAUAUAUUUUAAGAAAAGAGAAGAAAUGAUGAAACUCUUUUGCUAGGAUUAUCAACUCCUUUUGAGUCAUAAAAUUAAAUGCCUAUGAAAGUAUAGAAUGAAACUUUCUAUUGAUGGUGCAUGUUCCUAAGCUAACAAAAUAUUAUCAUCAAGUGCUCGCAAGAAAAAACAAAAUAUAUUUUCAGGCAGGAAACAAGACCAGAGCAAAGCAUUCCUUCUUGGCGUUUGAGAAAUGGAAGCAGCGAAGAACCCUCGGGGAUGGUGAAGCGGAACAGUGGUUUGUCCUGGAGCAUCUGCACUGAACUGGACGCCCCCGUGCGAUGUUAGUCGCUUGUUUCAUUGGUGCCAGCUAAGUAGCGAUGGCUGAAGAAGCCAGACCACGCUUCCCACCUUCCCUAAAAGCCAUGGCUACUCGGCUAGGCAUUCCAUCGAGCAGAUGGGCGGCGCUCCUAUAUGAACAGAGGCGCACAAUGUAGGAUCGGCAAUUUGCAUCGGCGAGGCUGCGGUGGCUGAGAACAAUCGCAGCAAAUGGAACUGGGAUCGGAGCGAUGGAUAUCGUCGAUGUAGAUUCCUGCGCCGAGGAAUUUGCGUGGGAAUUCGGAAAUGCAGAGGCCGGACUGGAGGCCCAGCUGCAGAGCAGACGCGUUUUUUGUGCGGAAGAAGCCGCACCGCAUGUAAACGCCCUCUCCAUCUACCCGCCCAC
This 806-nucleotide long non-coding RNA is filed under the name Zea mays. Its description in RNAcentral is "long non-coding RNA (ZMAY_LNC001483)". Lineage: Eukaryota; Viridiplantae; Streptophyta; Magnoliopsida; Poales; Poaceae. The record is from RNAcentral.